This 1028-nucleotide ribosomal RNA is filed under the name Sordariomycetes sp. genotype 54. RNAcentral describes it as "eukaryotic LSU rRNA". The stretch from base 450 to 1028 matches the Rfam family "Eukaryotic large subunit ribosomal RNA", at positions 1 to 592 of the family's 3401-position model. Lineage: Eukaryota; Fungi; Ascomycota; Sordariomycetes. The record is from RNAcentral.
CCAAGUUGCUUCGGCGGCGCGGCACCCCUUAACGGGGGCGCCGCAGCCCUGCCUCUCCGGAGGUUCGGGGCGCCCGCCGGAGGUACGAAACUCUGUAUUAUAGUGGCAUCUCUGAGUAUAAAACAAAUAAGUUAAAACUUUCAACAACGGAUCUCUUGGUUCUGGCAUCGAUGAAGAACGCAGCGAAAUGCGAUAAGUAAUGUGAAUUGCAGAAUUCAGUGAAUCAUCGAAUCUUUGAACGCACAUUGCGCCCGGUAGUACUCUACCGGGCAUGCCUGUUCGAGCGUCAUUUCAACCCUCAAGCCCUGCUUGGUGUUGGGGCCCUACGGCUGCCGUAGGCCCUGAAAGGAAGUGGCGGGCUCGCUACAACUCCGAGCGUAGUAAUUCAUUAUCUCGCUAGGGAGGUUGCGGCGUGCUCCUGCCGUUAAAGACCCAUCUUUAACCAAGGUUGACCUCGGAUCAGGUAGGAAUACCCGCUGAACUUAAGCAUAUCAAUAAGCGGAGGAAAAGAAACCAACAGGGAUUGCCCUAGUAACGGCGAGUGAAGCGGCAACAGCUCAAAUUUGAAAUCUGGCUUCGGCCCGAGUUGUAAUUUGUAGAGGAUGCUUUUGGUGAGGUGCCUUCUGAGUUCCCUGGAACGGGACGCCAGAGAGGGUGAGAGCCCCGUAUAGUCGGCCACCGAUCCUUUGUAAAGCUCCUUCGACGAGUCGAGUAGUUUGGGAAUGCUGCUCAAAAUGGGAGGUAUAUCUCUUCUAAAGCUAAAUAUAGGCCAGAGACCGAUAGCGCACAAGUAGAGUGAUCGAAAGAUGAAAAGCACUUUGAAAAGAGGGUUAAAUAGCACGUGAAAUUGUUGAAAGGGAAGCGCUUGUGACCAGACUUGUGCCGGGCUGAUCAUCCAGUGUUCUCACUGGUGCACUCGACCCGGCUCAGGCCAGCGUCGGUUUUCGUGGGGGGAUAAAAGCUUCGGGAACGUGGCACCUUCGGGUGUGUUAUAGCCCGUUGCUUAAUACCUCCGUGGAGACCGAGGU